UCCACGCCGUAAACGAUGAUCACUCGUUGUGUGCGAUAUAUUGUACGUGACUGAGCGAAAGCAUUAAGUGAUCCACCUGGGGAGUACGUCGGCAACGAUGAAACUCAAAGGAAUUGACGGGGGCCCGCACAAGCGGAGGAACAUGUGGUUUAAUUCGAUGAUACGCGAGGAACCUUACCUGGGCUUAAAUGUAGCGUGACUUUUCUGGAAACAGAAUUUCCCUUGGGGCAAGU
RNAcentral lists this ribosomal RNA (233 nucleotides) under uncultured bacterium. Its description in RNAcentral is "partial 16S ribosomal RNA". It matches the Rfam family "Bacterial small subunit ribosomal RNA", at positions 794 to 1031 of the family's 1533-position model. The record is from RNAcentral.